GACAGUCUCCACGUGUCUGCUCUUCCUCUCGGUGGCUCCAGGCUCUGCACCCUGGAGUUUAUGCAUGCAGAGAGAACACCAGCUGCAUUUCCCCAGCAUCAGCUGGAACCUCAGCAACCCGGAGCCCACAUCCUCGGAGUACACCGCCCUGCUGAGGGACACCCAGGACCAGUAACCACACUGGAGUGGACUCCCUGUGUACCUUGCCGCCUUGGCACAGAGACUGGACAGAGUUGCCAUCUAUGAGGAAUUCCUGUGGCUGACCCAGAAUGGUACCCAGCUGCAGAACUUGACCCUGGACAGGAAGAGUGUCCUUGGGGAUGAAUAUUCUGCCAACAGAGAUGACACCUCGACUGAGAAGCCUAGUAAACCUGCAGGAAGCCCCAGCCCAUGGUAGGGGGCGAGUAUCUUGAUGCUGUGCCUCAUCGAAGAGAACCAUGCGCACAGGGUUUUGGAUGAUGAGGAAA
Diceros bicornis minor is the source of this 467-nucleotide long non-coding RNA. RefSeq lists it as uncharacterized. The transcript has 3 exons. Lineage: Eukaryota; Metazoa; Chordata; Mammalia; Perissodactyla; Rhinocerotidae. The record is from RefSeq and is a predicted model, not a curated record.